AUUCCAGCUCCGAGAGCGUACUUAAUCAUUGUUGCAGUUAAAAGGUUCGUAGUCGAAUAUCUGUAAGAGUUAGUACUGGUUAGCCCACACAGACUCUUGCAUCCGCAGUGGAGUCAGUAUGGGUAUUAAUUUAUUGGACUGUCAGAAACUGCAUUUUACUUUGAAAAAAUUAGAGUGUUCAAAGCAAGCAAUGCUUGAAUUUAUCAGCAUGGAAUAAUUGAAUAUGGUAAACUGAAUAAAUCGAUUGGUUCAGUUACAAUGAUUAACAGGGACAGUUGGGGGCAUUCGUAUUCAGCAGCAAGGGGUGAAAUCCGUGGAUUUGCUGAAGACGGACUGAUGCGAAAGCGUUUGCCAAGGAUGUUUUCAUCG
RNAcentral lists this ribosomal RNA (369 nucleotides) under Eukaryota sp. RNAcentral's name for it is "partial small subunit ribosomal RNA". It matches the Rfam family "Eukaryotic small subunit ribosomal RNA", at positions 582 to 975 of the family's 1831-position model. The record is from RNAcentral.